GGUAGGGUGGCUGAGGUCCAAGCGGUGGGUUGUAGUUCCACAAACAGGGGUCAAGCCCCCUUCUUACCA
This 69-nucleotide transfer RNA is filed under the name Sigmops gracilis (slender fangjaw). Its description in RNAcentral is "tRNA-Tyr". It matches the Rfam family "tRNA". Rfam says of the family: Transfer RNA (tRNA) molecules are approximately 80 nucleotides in length. Their secondary structure includes four short double-helical elements and three loops (D, anti-codon, and T loops). Further hydrogen bonds mediate the characteristic L-shaped molecular structure. tRNAs have two regions of fundamental functional importance: the anti-codon, which is responsible for specific mRNA codon recognition, and the 3' end, to which the tRNAs corresponding amino acid is attached (by aminoacyl-tRNA synthetases). tRNAs cope with the degeneracy of the genetic code in two manners: having more than one tRNA (with a specific anti-codon) for a particular amino acid; and 'wobble' base-pairing, i.e. permitting non-standard base-pairing at the 3rd anti-codon position. The record is from RNAcentral. Lineage: Eukaryota; Metazoa; Chordata; Actinopteri; Stomiiformes; Gonostomatidae.